CUCAGGAUGAACGCUAGCUACAGGCUUAACACAUGCAAGUCGAGGGGCAGCAUGAACUUAGCUUGCUAAGUUUGAGUGGCGACCGGCGCACGGGUGAGUAACACGUAUCCAACCUGCCGAUGACUCGGGGAUAGCCUUUCGAAAGAAAGAUUAAUACCCGAUGGCAUAGUUCUUCCGCAUGGUAGAACUAUUAAAGAACUUCGGUCAUCGAUGGGGAUGCGUUCCAUUAGGUUGUUGGCGGGGUAACGGCCCACCAAGCCUUCGAUGGAUAGGGGUUCUGAGAGGAAGGUCCCCCACAUUGGAACUGAGACACGGUCCAAACUCCUACGGGAGGCAGCAGUGAGGAAUAUUGGUCAAUGGACGAGAGUCUGAACCAGCCAAGUAGCGUGAAGGAUGACUGCCCUAUGGGUUGUAAACUUCUUUUAUACGGGAAUAAAGUGAGGCACGUGUGCCUUUUUGUAUGUACCGUAUGAAUAAGGAUCGGCUAACUCCGUG
This 495-nucleotide ribosomal RNA is filed under the name uncultured bacterium. Its description in RNAcentral is "bacterial SSU rRNA". It matches the Rfam family "Bacterial small subunit ribosomal RNA", at positions 23 to 507 of the family's 1533-position model. The record is from RNAcentral.